RNAcentral lists this ribosomal RNA (254 nucleotides) under uncultured bacterium. Its description in RNAcentral is "partial 16S ribosomal RNA". It matches the Rfam family "Bacterial small subunit ribosomal RNA", at positions 524 to 776 of the family's 1533-position model. The record is from RNAcentral.
UACGUAGGGUGCGAGCGUUGUCCGGAAUUAUUGGGCGUAAAGAGCUCGUAGGCGGUGUGUCGCGUCGGUCGUGAAAACUUGGGGCUUAACCCUGAGCUUGCGGUCGAUACGGGCAUCACUGGAGUUCGGCAGGGGAGACUGGAAUUCCUGGUGUAGCGGUGAAAUGCGUAGAUAUCUGGAGGAACACCGGUGGCGAAGGCGGCGUUCUGGACUGUUUCUGACACUGUAAAACGAAAGCCAGGGGAGCAAACGGG